Molecule: ribosomal RNA, 498 nt
Filed under: uncultured bacterium
Lineage: Bacteria
Description: partial 16S ribosomal RNA
Rfam family: Bacterial small subunit ribosomal RNA
Source: RNAcentral
GACGAACGCUGGCGGCGUGCCUAAUACAUGCAAGUCGAACGAGAGCGACCGGUGCUUGCACUGGUCAAUCUAGUGGCGAACGGGUGAGUAACACGUGGGUAACCUGCCCAUCAGAGGGGGAUAACAUCCGGAAACGGAUGCUAAAACCGCAUAGGUCUUCGAACCGCAUGGUUUGAAGAGGAAAAGAGGCGCAAGCUUCUGCUGAUGGCUGGACCCGCGGUGCAUUAGCUAGUUGGUGAGGUAACGGCUCACCAAGGCCGUGAUGCGUAGCCGCCCUGAGGGGGACAAUGGCUACAUGGUGAGUGAGACAGGGCCCAAACUCCGGCGGUGGGCAGCAGUAGGGAAUCUUCCGCAAUGGACGCGAGGCUGACGGAGCAACGCCGCGGGAGGGAAGAAGGUUUUCGGAUCGUAAAGCUCUGUUGUUAGUGAAGAACAAGUGCUAUAGUAACUGUGAGCGCCUUGACGGUAUCUAACCAGAAAGCCACGGCUAACUACGUG